This 374-nucleotide unclassified non-coding RNA is filed under the name soil metagenome. Its description in RNAcentral is "partial contains internal transcribed spacer 2 and large subunit ribosomal RNA". The stretch from base 1 to 120 matches the Rfam family "5.8S ribosomal RNA", at positions 35 to 154 of the family's 154-position model. The record is from RNAcentral.
GAUGAAGAACGCAGCGAAAUGCGAUAAUUAAUGUGAAUUGCAGAAUUCCGUGAAUCAUCGAGUCUUUGAACGCACAUUGCGCCUCAUGGCAUUCCGUGAGGCAUGCCCAUCUCAGCGUUAGAAAAUAUUCUCAAAUUUUAGUUUUGUGCUAAAAUUUGGAUCAUAUCAAAGAAGCUAUUACUAUUAUUGUGAUCGCUCUUUGGAAAUUGAUAGGUCUUUGAGUUGCUACUCAUAGAACGUGAUGAAUCUUUCUUCGUUCUAUUGUAAUUCACUCUGGUAGUCCUAAAACUUGUAUGCCUGUGGCAUAUCUUGUAAUUUGACCUGAGAUUGGGUAGGGAUACCCGCUGAACUUAAGCAUAUCAAUAAGCGGAGGA